GUGUCCUCUGGGAUGAGGCUGAUGAAGCAGGAUUGGCUCUGCAGACCUACUCCAGCCCAUAGAAAGCACCCAUGGGGGUGCCCAGAUUCCUGGGAUGAGAACUUCAUGGGUGUUAGCUACAUGUACAGAUCACAGGACCUAACUCAGAUGCUCUGAUUGAGAAUCACCGAGAGAGAGAGAGAGAGAGAGCGCUCAGUAUCUGCAUGCCAACCUAACAAAGCC
RNAcentral lists this long non-coding RNA (222 nucleotides) under Fukomys damarensis (Damara mole-rat). Its description in RNAcentral is "lncRNA (ENSFDAG00000026526.1)". The record is from RNAcentral. Lineage: Eukaryota; Metazoa; Chordata; Mammalia; Rodentia; Bathyergidae.